Molecule: long non-coding RNA, 479 nt
Organism: Topomyia yanbarensis
Lineage: Eukaryota; Metazoa; Arthropoda; Insecta; Diptera; Culicidae
Exons: 3
Source: RefSeq, a predicted model, not a curated record
CGUCGACUGAACCGAAAGACGACAAACUAACAGAGAGUGGAAUCACAUAAAGAUUUUAUUAUUUCUCCACAGUAUAUUGAAAAAUCCCAUAUCUCCAGGCCAUCGCUGAAAUCGGUCGAGCACCCGCUUUUCAGAGGAUUCUAUUAUCACUGCCGGCCCAGGGAGAGAAACGUACCCCCUACUCAGUUAGAAGGUGUUUAGUAGAAAGGUAUUUUUUCUAUGUUCCAAUGCGGAACUUAAACUUCCAUUUCCAUGGACCUCGGAGUCUAGUCGUUGCUUACAGGACAGUUACAAGGUGUGCAAUUCAAGAGAAUGACACAUACAGUUCUGAAUAUUUCAAUGAAAUACUUGAUAAGUCAGAUUGCCAAAUAAUGGAGUUUCGUUUCAAUUCUACCAUCUCAAAUAAUCUACAACGGUAAAAUAAAACAAUGUAAAAUGAAACGCCCUCAACUAGCGGUAAACCUUAAUAUGUCUGCUCA